AAUGCCGAAUGCUAUAUUCCCUGUAAACCAGGAUAUGACAGCGGGAGAACCAAUUAAUUGGGGUGAAUUCAGAGAUUUGAGUUUAAAUUAUCAGAUCGACGAUAGGGGACCUUCUUCUCCGAACCCGUCAGCUAAUCUCGUAGGCGAAG
Molecule: small RNA, 149 nt
Filed under: human gut metagenome
Description: ydaO/yuaA leader
Rfam family: c-di-AMP riboswitch aptamer (ydaO/yuaA leader)
About the family: This family represents a conserved RNA structure found upstream of the ydaO and yuaA genes in Bacillus subtilis and related genes in other bacteria. The ydaO/yuaA element is thought to act as a genetic "off" switch for the ydaO and yuaA genes in its native state. It is believed that the element may be triggered during osmotic shock leading to activation of ydaO, a predicted amino acid transporter gene, and members of the yuaA-yubG operon which code for KtrA and KtrB K+ transporters.
Source: RNAcentral